This 250-nucleotide ribosomal RNA is filed under the name uncultured bacterium. Its description in RNAcentral is "partial 16S ribosomal RNA". It matches the Rfam family "Bacterial small subunit ribosomal RNA", at positions 355 to 602 of the family's 1533-position model. The record is from RNAcentral.
GGAGGAAUAUUGGUCAAUGGACGAAAGUCUGAACCAGCCAUGCCGCGUGAAGGAUGAAGGCGUUCUGCGUUGUAAACUUCUUUUAUAUGGGGAGAAACCACCUUUUUCUAAGGGUGUUGACGGUACCAUAGGAAUAAGCACCGGCUAACUCCGUGCCAGCAGCCGCGGUAAUACGGAGGGUGCAAGCGUUAUCCGGAUUUACUGGGUUUAAAGGGUGUGUAGGCGGGUCUUUAAGUCAGUGGUGAAAUCU